Molecule: unclassified non-coding RNA, 230 nt
Filed under: plant metagenome
Description: partial contains small subunit ribosomal RNA, internal transcribed spacer 1, and 5.8S ribosomal RNA
Source: RNAcentral
ACUCCGUAGGUGAACCUGCGGAGGGAUCAUUACAGAGUUCUCGCCCUCACGGGUAGAUCUCCCACCCACUGUUAUCGUUACUGUCGUUUCUUUGGCGGGCCGCCGGGUCCCCGGCCGCCGGCGCCUAGCUGCCGGCGCGCGCCCGCCAGAGGCCUUCAAACUCUGAAUGUUAGUGUCGUCUGAGUACUAUAUAAUAGUUAAAACUUUCAACAACGGAUCUCUUGGUUCUG